This 332-nucleotide ribosomal RNA is filed under the name uncultured bacterium. Its description in RNAcentral is "bacterial SSU rRNA". It matches the Rfam family "Bacterial small subunit ribosomal RNA", at positions 568 to 898 of the family's 1533-position model. The record is from RNAcentral.
UUCGUAGGCGGUGUGGCAAGUCGGGAGUGAAAUCUCUGGGCUUAACUCAGAGACUGCUUCCGAAACUGCUGUGCUUGAGUGUGGGAGAGGCGCGUGGAAUUGCAGGUGUAGCGGUGAAAUGCGUAGAUAUCGGGAGGAACACCUGUGGCGAAAGCGGCUCACUGGACCACAACUGACGCUGAGGCGCGAAAGCUAGGGGAGCAAACAGGAUUAGAUACCCUGGUAGUCCUAGCCCUAAACGAUGAUUGCUUGGUGUAGCAGGUACCCAAUCCUGCUGUGCCGCAGCUAACGCGUUAAGCAAUCCGCCUGGGGAGUACGGUCGCAAGGCUGAA